GAAAAGUAUUCAGGUUUGACUGAGAGAGAAAAGGUUACCGUAUGAGGAGAGGGUUACUGACUUAAAACAUGACAGAUUCUUACUCUAAAAGUUAUGAAGAGUUGAUUACUCCACUGAAAGAUGAACUGAAGAAAAUUCUCAGGAACAGUAAGUCAGUAAAAGAAGGACCCACUACGAAAUUUAUAUUAAACACAACAGUUGUAACUGAAGACAAAUUACUGAGAGAAAGUGAGACUAGGAGAGAAAAAUGAUGACAACAAAAAUAUGGUCAUAUUAGUGGUUGGGGAAACAGGAACAGGAAGACUGCUUUCAUCAAUGCAAUGAUCAAUUACAUCAUGGGUAUCAGAUGGGAACAUAAAAGUUUGGCUGGAGGUAGCUGAGGUAUCUGAAAACCAAACUGAGUCUCAAACAGCAGCAGUGACCGUUUAUGACGUUUUUGCUCGGACAGUCUGUUCUCUCUCACUGUAAUCGACACACCUGGAUUUGAAAUAUACCAGAUGAAGAUGAAGAUGAAGAUAAAGACAAGUUAAUUCCUAAAGUGUUACAGCAGUUGUUCAGAUCUGAAGAUGGCAUUCAUGAAAUUCAUGCAGUGUGUCUUGUGUUGAAGGCAUCAGAAACUCGCCUCCAUGAGAGACAGCAAUAUGUUUUAGAUGAAAUUAUGUCAUUAUUUGGCAAAGACAUUGAAAAACAUAUCUUUUAGUCUUCACAAACCAACUUCACAAAACUCUCCCACCAAAAGUUUUUAAUUUUAUUAACGAAUCAAAAAUUAAAAGUGCACAAAUUUAUUUUACGUUUGAUAACUGUCAGAGUGACUACUUCAGGGAGGAAGACAGAAAGAGUUACAAAUCAUCCUGGGAUCGUGGAAUUGAAACCUUGAAGGAGUUUUUGAUUAUCUGAAUGAGAUAAACCCAAAAAGCUUGAAUAUGACAGAAGGUGUGCUUAGAGCCAGAAAACAAUUAGAUGCCUGUGUCAACAAUUUGAAAGACAGAAUUGUGUUUGCAGAUUACAGAAAACAAGAGCUGGAGCAAACAAAAUUAGCUCUGGAGAAAAUUGAAAAAAGCAGAGAAAAAGAGAAUAACUUUGUAUAUGAAGUCGAUGAACCAUACAAACAAGAGGUCCAGAUAGUGUCAUCACGUGUGGUGGCACCUGAGCAAACAGGCGACCCGCUGCACUUUCUGUGAGGAGAACUGCCACUUUCCAGGAUGCUGGUGGGUCAAAGAUCUGUCAUGGUGUAGUGUGAUGACGGAUGGA
Long non-coding RNA from Puntigrus tetrazona (Sumatra barb), 1251 nucleotides. RefSeq lists it as uncharacterized. The transcript has 3 exons. The record is from RefSeq and is a predicted model, not a curated record. Lineage: Eukaryota; Metazoa; Chordata; Actinopteri; Cypriniformes; Cyprinidae.